Molecule: ribosomal RNA, 301 nt
Filed under: uncultured bacterium
Lineage: Bacteria
Description: partial 16S ribosomal RNA
Rfam family: Bacterial small subunit ribosomal RNA
Source: RNAcentral
CAGUAGCCGCGGUAAUACGGAGGGUGCAAGCGUUAAUCGGAAUUACUGGGCGUAAAGCGCACGCAGGCGGUCUGUCAAGUCAGAUGUGAAGUCCCCGGGCUUAACCUGGGAACUGCAUUUGAAACUGGCAGGCUAGAGUCUUGUAGAGGGGGGUAGAAUUCCAGGUGUAGCGGUGAAAUGCGUAGAGAUCUGGAGGAAUACCGGUGGCGAAGGCGGCCCCCUGGACAAAGACUGACGCUCAGGUGCGAAAGCGUGGGGAGCAAACAGGAUUAGAUACCCCAGUAGUCCCUGUCUCUUAUAC